CCUACGGGUGGCAGCAGUGAGGAAUAUUGGUCAAUGGGCGGGAGCCUGAACCAGCCAAGCCGCGUGAAGGAAGAAGGCGCCAGGCUUCGUAACCUUCUUUUGUCGGGUAACAAAUGGCGCCACGCAUGGCGUUAUGAGUGUACACGAAGAAAAAGCAUCGGCUAAUUCCGUGCCAGCAGCCGCGGUAAACCGGAGGCUGCGAGCGUUAUCCGGAUGUAUUGGGUUUAAAGGGUGCGUAGGCGGUCCGGAAAGUCAGAGGUAAAAGCCCGGGGCUCAACCCCGGCGUGCCGUUGAAACUGUGGGACUAGAGACGGCGAGAAGUACGCGGAAUGCGUGGUGUAGCGGUAAAAUGCGUAGAUAGCGCGCAGAAUUCUGAUUGCGAAGGCAGCGUACCGGAGCCGGACUGACGCUGAGGCACGAAAGCGUGGGUAUUGAACAGGAUUAGAUACCCCAGUAGUC
This 459-nucleotide ribosomal RNA is filed under the name uncultured bacterium. RNAcentral's name for it is "partial 16S ribosomal RNA". It matches the Rfam family "Bacterial small subunit ribosomal RNA", at positions 338 to 795 of the family's 1533-position model. The record is from RNAcentral.